Molecule: long non-coding RNA, 88 nt
Organism: Ipomoea nil (Japanese morning glory)
Lineage: Eukaryota; Viridiplantae; Streptophyta; Magnoliopsida; Solanales; Convolvulaceae
Exons: 3
Source: RefSeq, a predicted model, not a curated record
CCAAACUUUUUCUUAGGUCAUUUAAAACUCGGAUGACCAUAGCUGGUAAAUUGCUAAUACUCGAAGGACCAUUGGAUGUAUUAACUCU